Molecule: long non-coding RNA, 242 nt
Filed under: Elaeis guineensis (African oil palm)
Lineage: Eukaryota; Viridiplantae; Streptophyta; Magnoliopsida; Arecales; Arecaceae
Description: long non-coding RNA (EGUI_LNC057251)
Source: RNAcentral
AGUCAAACAACAUCCCAGAUGAGCUGUGGGUAUAAAAAUAUGUCAAAUUUAAUCACUUAUCUUUAUGUAUCUUGAUCAAAAGGUGAUGGUUCAGUUGAUGAUAUAUUAAAAACUCUUUUCUAAUUAUCAUCCUAUUUUGGUCAAAGACUUCCAGAAUCACCGACUUAUGAGAUCAUAUAGGAUAUUCGCUCCUUUUAUUAAAAGUGACUAAUCUCUUAUUGAUCAUUCAAAAUCUCCAUGCA